AUGAACGCUGGCGGCGUGCCUAAUACAUGCAAGUCGAGCGAACAGAUGAGGAGCUUGCUCCUCUGACGUUAGCGGCGGACGGGUGAGUAACACGUGGAUAACCUACCUAUAAGACUGGGAUAACUUCGGGAAACCGGAGCUAAUACCGGAUAAUAUAUUGAACCGCAUGGUUCAAUAGUGAAAGACGGUUUUGCUGUCACUUAUAGAUGGAUCCGCGCCGCAUUAGCUAGUUGGUAAGGUAACGGCUUACCAAGGCAACGAUGCGUAGCCGACCUGAGAGGGUGAUCGGCCACACUGCAACUGAGACACGGUCCAGACUCCUACGGGAGGCAGCAGUAGGGAAUCUUCCGCAAUGGGCGAAAGCCUGACGGAGCAACGCCGCGUGAGUGAUGAAGGUCUUCGGAUCGUAAAACUCUGUUAUUAGGGAAGAACAAAUGUGUAAGUAACUAUGCACGUCUUGACGGUACCUAAUCAGAAAGCCACGGCUAACUACGUG
RNAcentral lists this ribosomal RNA (496 nucleotides) under uncultured bacterium. RNAcentral's name for it is "partial 16S ribosomal RNA". It matches the Rfam family "Bacterial small subunit ribosomal RNA", at positions 29 to 507 of the family's 1533-position model. The record is from RNAcentral.